This 460-nucleotide ribosomal RNA is filed under the name uncultured bacterium. RNAcentral's name for it is "partial 16S ribosomal RNA". It matches the Rfam family "Bacterial small subunit ribosomal RNA", at positions 338 to 795 of the family's 1533-position model. The record is from RNAcentral.
CCUACGGGAGGCAGCAGUGAGGAAUAUUGGUCAAUGGACGAGAGUCUGAACCAGCCAAGUAGCGUGAAGGAUGACUGCCCUAUGGGUUGUAAACUUCUUUUAUACAGGAAUAAAACGAGGCACGUGUGCCUUUUUGCAUGUACUUUAUGAAUAAGGAUCGGCUAACUCCGUUCCAGCAGCCGCGGUAAUACGGAGGAUCCGAGCGUUAUCCGGCUUUAUUGGGUUUAAGGGGAGCGUAGAUGGGUUGUUAAGUCAGUUGUGACAGUUUGCGGCUCAACCGUAAAAUUGCAAUUGAUACUGGAAGGCUGGAGUACAGUUGAGGUAGGCGGAAUUCGUGGUGUAGCAGUGAAAUGCUUAGAUAUCACGAAGAACCCCGAUUGCGAAGGCAGCUUACUAAACUGUGACUGACAUUGAGGCUCGAAAGUGUGGGUAUCAAACAGGAUUAGAUACCCGGGUAGUC